GCUCAGGGUUGGCAAACAGGAACUUCAACCUACCGCCACACAGAUACAGUGUGAGCAUCUACACUCUGUGGCCACAUCAUGGGCAAUUGCAUUUCAAGGAAAAAGAAGAACGGGAAAGCCUCAGGAGGAUGUAACGUACGCCUCCAUUGACCACGGCAACACCAAAGGACCGAGUCGAGCCAGAACCUCCGCGGAUGACGAUUGUGACUACGCCACCGUUUACGUCCCGGCAGCACUCGCAGCCGCAGACGUUUCUGAAUGCUCGUCUAAAGACGAAGGGGCAGAAGAUUACGUGCUCAUGGGGUAAAAGGAAAACAAGGGGAAGUUCAUUAGAACUAUUGCAAGGUGCAGGACUUGUAGAUACCACAGACAGAAUAAAGUUUCUGUUAAUCAAAUCAUGAUCUUCAGUGAAGAAACUGUGGCAGCGAACAGAGUGACACAUUCAGCGGCAGGAGAUUGCGGAAACAACACAUUUGGCUCCGCUACUGAGAAAACCGUUAUAUUUAAACAGAUCUGCUGUCACUAAUAUUUUCCAUUGCAGAUAAAGGUUUGCUCGGUAUCCACAGGCAAGCAGCGUCCAGAUGACAUAACCAGUUUUCCCUAACAACUGGACUGUUUGCAUAGUAAAAUUGCAGAAUUGUUUUCUGCCUUCAUGACCUUUGCCACAUAAUCCAUGAUGGAAGUGAGUGAAAGUGUGGGACAGAGCACGUAUAUAUGCAACUGUGUACACAACUGUAUACACAACAAACACUUUUGUGCAUAUUUUGUAACAUUGUUCCUGAGAAAAACUGCGCUCCAGGUUUUACAACCGUGGAUAUUUAAGGCUUUAGAAUUACUCUUUGUUUUGCUUUUUUCAAGCAUUUUCAAAAUGCCGGCAUUUACCUACAAGAUGUUCUAAACGAGAUGCAUAUGAAAAAAACGUCUAAUUUACUGCGAGUGUGUUUCUUUUGUUUUUAUUGAUAUUUUA
This is a long non-coding RNA of Gasterosteus aculeatus aculeatus (three-spined stickleback), 967 nucleotides long. NCBI's taxonomy places the organism in Eukaryota, Metazoa, Chordata, Actinopteri, Perciformes, Gasterosteidae. The record is from Ensembl.